Molecule: transfer RNA, 74 nt
Filed under: Bacteroidota bacterium
Lineage: Bacteria; Pseudomonadati; Bacteroidota
Also listed under: 2 other names
Description: Bacteroidetes bacterium tRNA-Pro
Rfam family: tRNA
About the family: Transfer RNA (tRNA) molecules are approximately 80 nucleotides in length. Their secondary structure includes four short double-helical elements and three loops (D, anti-codon, and T loops).
Source: RNAcentral
CGGGAUGUAGCGCAGCCCGGUAGCGCGCGUCGUUCGGGACGACGAGGCCGCAGGUUCAAAUCCUGUCAUCCCGA